CUCGCAGCUGGGUCGCCUGUUGCGGG
This 26-nucleotide non-coding RNA is filed under the name Budvicia aquatica DSM 5075 = ATCC 35567. RNAcentral's name for it is "L25-Gammaproteobacteria ribosomal protein leader". It matches the Rfam family "L25-Gammaproteobacteria ribosomal protein leader". The record is from RNAcentral. Lineage: Bacteria; Pseudomonadati; Pseudomonadota; Gammaproteobacteria; Enterobacterales; Budviciaceae.